Molecule: transfer RNA, 72 nt
Filed under: Phrynosoma platyrhinos (Desert horned lizard)
Lineage: Eukaryota; Metazoa; Chordata; Lepidosauria; Squamata; Phrynosomatidae
Description: tRNA-OTHER
Source: RNAcentral
GCCAGUGUGGCAUAGUGGUUUGUGUGUUGAACUAUGACUCUGGAGACCAAGGUUCAAUUCCCAGUUCAGCCA